RNAcentral lists this small RNA (89 nucleotides) under Flavobacterium segetis. RNAcentral describes it as "Flavo-1 RNA". It matches the Rfam family "Flavo-1 RNA". Lineage: Bacteria; Pseudomonadati; Bacteroidota; Flavobacteriia; Flavobacteriales; Flavobacteriaceae. The record is from RNAcentral.
UUUUAACUGCGUGAGGGAUAGUAGUGGAAAUCCUUUUUUAUGUAGCGAAAGCGAAAUAAAAAAGAUUGCAGCGCAUAGCCCGUUUCGCU